RNAcentral lists this ribosomal RNA (253 nucleotides) under uncultured bacterium. RNAcentral's name for it is "partial 16S ribosomal RNA". It matches the Rfam family "Bacterial small subunit ribosomal RNA", at positions 524 to 776 of the family's 1533-position model. The record is from RNAcentral.
GACGAACCGUGCGAACGUUAUUCGGAAUUAUUGGGCGUAAAGGGCGCGUAGGCGGCCUGGCAAGUGGAAGGUGAAAUCCCUCGGCUUAACCGAGGAACUGCCCUCCAAACUGCUUGGCUUGAGUCCGGGAGAGGUGAGUGGAAUUCCCAGUGUAGCGGUGAAAUGCGUAGAUAUUGGGAGGAACACCAGUGGCGAAGGCGGCUCACUGGACCGGAACUGACGCUGAGGCGCGAAAGCGUGGGGAGCAAACGGG